This 484-nucleotide ribosomal RNA is filed under the name uncultured bacterium. RNAcentral's name for it is "partial 16S ribosomal RNA". It matches the Rfam family "Bacterial small subunit ribosomal RNA", at positions 30 to 507 of the family's 1533-position model. The record is from RNAcentral.
AUUGAACGCUGGCGGCAGGCCUAACACAUGCAAGUCGAGCGGAUGAAGGGAGCUUGCUCCUGGAUUCAGCGGCGGACGGGUGAGUAAUGCCCAGGAAUCUGCCUGGUAGUGGGGGAUAACGUCCGGAAACGGGCGCUAAUACCGCAUACGUCCUGAGGGAGAAAGUGGGGGAUCUUCGGACCUCACGCUAUCAGAUGAGCCUAGGUCGGAUUAGCUAGUUGGUGGGGUAAAGGCCUACCAAGGCGACGAUCCGUAACUGGUCUGAGAGGAUGAUCAGUCACACUGGAACUGAGACACGGUCCAGACUCCUACGGGAGGCAGCAGUGGGGAAUAUUGGACAAUGGGCGAAAGCCUGAUCCAGCCAUGCCGCGUGUGUGAAGAAGGUCUUCGGAUUGUAAAGCACUUUAUGUUGGGAGGAAGGGCAGUAAGUUAAUACCUUGCUGUUUUGACGUUACCAACAGAAUAAGCACCGGCUAACUUCGUG